This 67-nucleotide microRNA precursor is filed under the name Triops cancriformis. The record is from RNAcentral. Lineage: Eukaryota; Metazoa; Arthropoda; Branchiopoda; Notostraca; Triopsidae.
GGUGGGUAUGUUUCUAGUGCAUGCAUGAGGUUGUUUAUAAGAACCAUGACUAGAUCCAUACUCAUCU